CCUAAAGUUAGGCCUUCGGCUAUCGCUGCACCCAUGUCUUUUGAGUACCGUCUGUUUCCUCGGCGGGUCUGCCUGCCGAUUGGACAUAUUAAACCAUUUUGCAGUUGCAAUCAGCGUCAUGAAAAAAACUAAUAGUUA
Molecule: unclassified non-coding RNA, 138 nt
Filed under: soil metagenome
Description: partial internal transcribed spacer 1
Source: RNAcentral